This 474-nucleotide ribosomal RNA is filed under the name uncultured bacterium. RNAcentral's name for it is "bacterial SSU rRNA". It matches the Rfam family "Bacterial small subunit ribosomal RNA", at positions 56 to 510 of the family's 1533-position model. The record is from RNAcentral.
UGCAAGUCGAGCGCGAAAGUGGGCUUCGGCCCACGAGUAGAGCGGCGAACGGGUGAGUAACGCGUGGGUGAUCUACCUCCGAGUGGGGAAUAACACCGGGAGACUGGUGCUAAUACCGCAUGACAUCCUCGAUUCGUUUCGAGGAUCAAAGCUGGGGACCGCAAGGCCUGGCGCUUGGAGAGGAGCCCGCGUCCGAUUAGCUUGUUGGCGGGGUAAUGGCCCACCAAGGCUUCGAUCGGUAGCCGGCCUGAGAGGGCGGACGGCCACACUGGGACUGAGACACGGCCCANACUCCUACGGGAGGCAGCAGUGGGGAAUUUUUCGCAAUGGGGGAAACCCUGACGAAGCAACGCCGCGUGGAGGAUGAAGGCCCUCGGGUCGUAAACUCCUGUCGAUCGGGAAGAAUGCACUCGGCCCAAUACGCCGUUGUGUUGACUGUACCGGUGGAGGANGUNCACGGCUAACUCUGUGCCA